Molecule: small nuclear RNA, 24 nt
Filed under: Arabidopsis thaliana (thale cress)
Lineage: Eukaryota; Viridiplantae; Streptophyta; Magnoliopsida; Brassicales; Brassicaceae
Description: snRNA_08116
Source: RNAcentral
UCCCAUGUGGACGGUUUUAGAAGC